RNAcentral lists this ribosomal RNA (1372 nucleotides) under uncultured bacterium. RNAcentral describes it as "bacterial SSU rRNA". It matches the Rfam family "Bacterial small subunit ribosomal RNA", at positions 28 to 1381 of the family's 1533-position model. The record is from RNAcentral.
GAUGAACGCUGGCGGCGUGCCUAAUACAUGCAAGUCGAGCGAACGGACGAGAAGCUUGCUUCUCUGAUGUUAGCGGCGGACGGGUGAGUAACACGUGGAUAACCUACCUAUAAGACUGGGAUAACUUCGGGAAACCGGAGCUAAUACCGGAUAAUAUUUUGAACCGCAUGGUUCAAAAGUGAAAGACGGUCUUGCUGUCACUUAUAGAUGGAUCCGCGCUGCAUUAGCUAGUUGGUAAGGUAACGGCUUACCAAGGCAACGAUGCAUAGCCGACCUGAGAGGGUGAUCGGCCACACUGGAACUGAGACACGGUCCAGACUCCUACGGGAGGCAGCAGUAGGGAAUCUUCCGCAAUGGGCGAAAGCCUGACGGAGCAACGCCGCGUGAGUGAUGAAGGUCUUCGGAUCGUAAAACUCUGUUAUUAGGGAAGAACAUAUGUGUAAGUAACUGUGCACAUCUUGACGGUACCUAAUCAGAAAGCCACGGCUAACUACGUGCCAGCAGCCGCGGUAAUACGUAGGUGGCAAGCGUUAUCCGGAAUUAUUGGGCGUAAAGCGCGCGUAGGCGGUUUUUUAAGUCUGAUGUGAAAGCCCACGGCUCAACCGUGGAGGGUCAUUGGAAACUGGAAAACUUGAGUGCAGAAGAGGAAAGUGGAAUUCCAUGUGUAGCGGUGAAAUGCGCAGAGAUAUGGAGGAACACCAGUGGCGAAGGCGACUUUCUGGUCUGUAACUGACGCUGAUGUGCGAAAGCGUGGGGAUCAAACAGGAUUAGAUACCCUGGUAGUCCACGCCGUAAACGAUGAGUGCUAAGUGUUAGGGGGUUUCCGCCCCUUAGUGCUGCAGCUAACGCAUUAAGCACUCCGCCUGGGGAGUACGACCGCAAGGUUGAAACUCAAAGGAAUUGACGGGGACCCGCACAAGCGGUGGAGCAUGUGGUUUAAUUCGAAGCAAUGCGAAGAACCUUACCAAAUCUUGACAUCCUUUGACAACUCUAGAGAUAGAGCUUUCCCCUUCGGGGGACAAAGUGACAGGUGGUGCAUGGUUGUCGUCAGCUCGUGUCGUGAGAUGUUGGGUUAAGUCCCGCAACGAGCGCAACCCUUAAGCUUAGUUGCCAUCAUUAAGUUGGGCACUCUAAGUUGACUGCCGGUGACAAACCGGAGGAAGGUGGGGAUGACGUCAAAUCAUCAUGCCCCUUAUGAUUUGGGCUACACACGUGCUACAAUGGACAAUACAAAGGGCAGCGAAACCGCGAGGUCAAGCAAAUCCCAUAAAGUUGUUCUCAGUUCGGAUUGUAGUCUGCAACUCGACUACAUGAAGCUGGAAUCGCUAGUAAUCGUAGAUCAGCAUGCUACGGUGAAUACGUUCCCGGGUCU